This is a long non-coding RNA of Tympanuchus pallidicinctus (lesser prairie-chicken), 6223 nucleotides long. RefSeq lists it as uncharacterized. NCBI's taxonomy places the organism in Eukaryota, Metazoa, Chordata, Aves, Galliformes, Phasianidae. The record is from RefSeq and is a predicted model, not a curated record. The transcript is spliced from 5 exons.
GUUUCAUUGGUUAUCCUCUCCGCUAUCUGCCAGUACUUACAUAGGUUGCAUUUGGACAGAAAGGUCUGGGAGGCCAGCAGCUGUAAGCAGCAGAGACAAGAAUGAGACGGUGGCUUCAGAAAAACUUCAGAAAUCUGUAAAUCUGGUUGUAGGGCAGCUGGUUGGAUUGAUAAUGCUGCAGCCCUUAAACACAAAAUGCUAGAUUGGUAUAAAACCAUUCUGAUGUAAGAUGCAUCAGCCUAUGGGACUCCAAACAGCACAGAACUGGGUCAAGAAUGCUCCCGCCAGGAAAGCCAAUGGUUACUUAAGGUUUGUCUACUCAGGGAGCUCAGAGCUGCUGAUGGAUGUUACCAAGCUUCAUGUGAACCAGCUUCAUCCAUGAAAAGGUAGCAGAAGGUGAAGUGUGCCAAAUUCAUGGCUGCUGGAAGCCACUUUCAAACUUCUAGCAAGGUGGUCUGUCCAGCUUUUAUUGCCACAGCUCUGUAUUGGUUACAGCUGCAAGGAAAGGAAAUGUAUACCUGCCACUUGAAGUACCCAGAUGCAGGACAGACAUCUUGAGAGGACAUGCUCAAACAUUUCUGCCUAUUUUCAAGUGAGAAUGUUUACCUCUUGCAGUUCUGGAACUUCCAUGGCAGACGAGGAAAAGAAACUGAAGACAAUGAGAUGAAGGAAGGAUUAUUCUCCUUUAACCAGGUUGUAACACAAACAUUCAGAAACUAUUUGGUACUUCCAUUGUCACAGGAACCACGUGACCACAGAUGAGAAUAACAUAUUUCCAACCAAAUUCUGUAACAACAAGGAGUAAUAAGCUGAUGGUAAAACAUGAAUCAUUUAGUCUAUAUAAAUACAUGAUUUUAGCAUGGGUGCGUUGUGGAAAGCUAUGUCACAAGUGUAUGAUGUAUAUUGAAAGAUGAUGGAUAAUUUCACUGCAAUUAUUUGUUCUUUUUCAGAAGCCAUCUUAUCAUUUUCUGUAUUUUUCAUGAUUCUCAGCAGUGUAAAUGUUAGACUGAAUUAGGAAAAUCAGCCAAUUCUGGAUCAGGAUUGAUGUAGCAAGGUCACGAAGCAUUUCAACCGUGCAUGAAAAAGAGCUGGUAAUGUUGGAAUGUUAGUAUAUGGUAUUCAAUUAAGUGCUACAUAUUGAAGGAGGUAAAAAGAAACUAUUGUAUUUGUAAUGGAGUCACACUUCACUUUUUCUGCAACUUACCAGUCAUUAUCAAGCUCUGAUGGCAGAUGAAGGAGCCAGUUUCUUCUAGUCUUUAGCAGAAAAGAAUGAAAACUCUUUCCUAUAACCAAAUCUCAUAGUUUUAAAAGUCACAGUACUGAUUAACCCGUAUGUAUUAGCUUUUGUCAAGCCCACAUGUAUUAGCUUUAGUCAUCUGAAUUUUUCUUGGUCUUUGCUGUAUAUCUUAGACUUAAAUUUUAUUUUACCACCUAAUAUAAUGUUAUCAAAGCUUUAGAUUGCAAUAUCAGUGUGUCUGCAUCUUGUUGAAUAAGUAUGAACUAUUUCCAAUGUGACUUGUGAGCCUGGGACCAAACAGGGCAACAGAAAAGAGGAAGGAAAAUAUGUGAUGGCUGAGAAAACUGUAACAAGUCCUUACAAAGUUGAAGAUGUGAAGUGGAUAUGAUACAAACCUGUCAUUUUAUUCUGGUCAGAAAACUCGUGGGAUGGAUGAGAAAUAGGACAUGUUUGAGCACUGGAACUUUUUUUUUUUUUAAAACAAACUAUGAGAUGAAUUCUGUGAAGAAAAAAGGAGUUAGUCAGUAUCACCUCAUUUGUCAUUCCUGUAGAGCAAAGAAGAACGUGUUACUUCAGCUCUUCUGAAACCAAGCUGCAGCAUGAAAUUCAUACAGGUCCCUGGAAGAUCUAUGUCUCCACCUAUGGAUAGGAAUAUCUGCAAGCACUUAUAUUACCUGUACAGCUGUCUGUCUUCAGCACUGUUUUUUGGUGUCUGUAUUAGAAAAAAUACAGCUAUAGACUCAUACACAGUAAUUUGACAACUCUAUCUGGGAUUUUGUAAUCCAUAAAAUUCUAUGUGAAUAGGAAAAUACUGAUAAAUUUCAGGAGGUGCCGAAGUAUAGUCCAACUCAUUUUAACAACCGAGGCUGUUAUGUAACAGGACUUUUCCUUGUAUGUCCUUUUUCUAAAGGAAAUAGAAGAUUUUCUGCCUCACUGUGGAGAGGAUCAAAAACUGAGCCAGGUUACAGAGCUUAUGGUGAAGUGAGGAGUUUUGUUCACUUCAAUCCCAGAACCACCAGAUUCCAUCAAAGUUACUAUCACCACAGUGGUGGUGGUAAUAUUUCAACACUUAGUUGAGGAUUGUGUCCCUUAAAGUCAACAAACUUGUAGGAUAGUAUUAAUAUAAUCUUUAAUACUCAUUAAAACUGAAAAUAUGGCCUUUUGAAAUAAUACUGGGUUCUUUCCUGAAAUGGUUAUAGUGCUAGAAGCAUUAUUUGACAGUAGCAAAAUGUCUUAUUGAUGUGCCUUUAAAAGAAAGUUUUACAGAAAGCAUUUUAAUGCACUUAGCCAUUGAAAAAUUUACUUGCUGUGCAGUUUUUGAAUAACAUAUAUUGAAUAUAGUAUUUAUGAUGAGAUUUAGAACCAGGAUGUAUUGGUAUGUAGAUGAAAAUUACUUAUGCUGUGUUUUUGCAAUUAUUCUCUGGCAUAAAUCUGGAAUGAAGUCCCUAGAAAUUCCAACAUAAAAAUCUGAAAUAUAAUAUUAAUAACCUGAAAUUGAGUAGUGCUCUUGAACUGUAGUAGAAAUCUUGUGUCCUCAAUUGUAAUUAAUUUCAUUCAAUUUCAGUAUACAUGAGAGAUGAAUGUGAUGGAAGACAGUAUCAAUAAGUAAUAAAUGAAAUAGUAUCAAUAAGAAAUAAAUGGAAUAACUGAUAUUCCAGAUCUUUACAGACAGUGCUAAUCUUGUUGCAACAACCUCAGGCAUAGAAGGAUACUAAUUAAUGACUCAAAUUAAUAAAUUUGAGAAUUUACUUUAAAAAUAAAUAAUCCUAAAGCUUUUUGCUUAAAAAAAAAUAAUCGUUCUUAAAAAUUAAAUCUCUAAAUUUCUGCUAAUUGAUUCACAUGCUUGGCUAUAUUUUAUUAUUCACUUUCUGAAUAACAAAAGCAUUGGAUAGUGAAAAUAGUUGUAAGAAGCAAGAGGAGAAAUUAUUUCUUGUGCCAGUUGACUAUCAUUUGAUGACUAAAAAAUUAUCAAUGACAAGGAGGAAGCACAAACCUGCUUAUACUGGUACUUCAAAAUGUUACAACUUGAGUUGUCCAUCUGUUGUGCUGAAAGAAGAGUUGAUUUUUGCUCCAUGUGCUAUUAUUGCCAUUAUAAUAAAGCUGUACAAACAGAUAUGUAAUAUUGAUUAACAGAAAAAGAACAAGAGACAGGGCUAUAGAAGGAUAUUCAGACAUCCAAGGUAGGAUAUCAAUUUGCGACACUCUACCUGUCUCCACAGCACAAAGAGGGAAGAGAACAUGCUUCUCUCUUUUAGUCAAGUGUAGGCUGGGUAGAUGGCUACUUAGAAACUCUUGAGUUUCAUGCAUUCAGUCUGCUUGUUCCAGUCUGGCACUCUUUCUAAAGUGUCUUUCUGCUUUAUUUAUUGUGUCAGCCAGAAGUGGUAACGUUAAUGCUCUAUUUUAAUUUCUGAAAUAAAACAAUCCUCAAGUUUCUUCAUAUGGUUCCCGUAGGCUCUCAAUAUUACUCUGAAACUUACUGCCUCUUACUGCCUUGGCAGAUAUCAAUAUUGAUUGUGAAGAGUUAAAUGAAAUGGCCAGGAUGCCUUUGGCACAUUGUUCAUAGUCUCACCUAAGCAGACAUGAAAAACAGUAAGUAGAAGAGACUUGCAAUCAUACAUGGGCAAAAAAAGUGGCCACUGCGCCUUUCACUCCCUCAUGAAGUUUACUACCAGACAAAAGAUAAAUUUGAGUUGUAUGUAGUAUGCAGACUUUUGACUGGCCAAACAAAAAAAAAAUUCACCUUAGAAAACCUAAGUCAUCCUUCUGAGUCGCAAAACCUAAUCAAAAACUUUACACACACAUAUAUAUGUUAUAAUUAGCACAGAACUGGACAUAAGUUCUUUUUUUAUCUCUAUAAUUAGAGUAUGAUCACUUAAUUUGAAUUUCCCCUGGAUGUAUUUUUAUAGCACUUGGGCCAUUCAGGUUUGUUUCAGGUUUGUUUUUUUUUUUUCCUUGAUUUUUUUUGUGUCUAUUGUUGCAUUGCUUUUUUUUUUUCCUGUUGCUGUUGUUUUGUUUUCUACUUAGUUUAUACUUUGCUAUUUUUAGUAAUAUUUUGCCAUUAUUUUGCCAUUGCUAAUGAUAUUAACUUUGAAAUUGACUUGGCCAGCUGAAGAUAGGUCUAAGUUAAUUUUCUGUAGAUGGGAAGUUGUUUUACAGUAUGAUGGAAAUUGAUCUUUAUUGAGAAAGCCUGUCUAAGUUCUCUUUUUGAAGGAUUAAUAUAGGAGUACUUUUGAUUGCUAUUUCAUGUAAUUCAACCUUCACGCAUGGCAAGCUGACAGAUGAAAGCUUCAAACUCCCUCCUGAAUUAGAGAGAGAUACUAGAAUCCCGUUUUCCUUAUCUGGGUCUUCACUUUCCUGGCAAACAGUGUCCUACAAUGGUGAAGAAUGCAGGCCACUGUUAACACAGUCUCACGAAGAAAUACAACUUGAUAAACAGAUUUUAUAAAUAUCUUAUCAUUUUUCUAAUACAGAAACAUAAGAAAGUAGGGCUAGAUGGGAGAUCUGUGAUAAUCUCACCUGUGCCAGCACCCGCUCCUGAGGAGUCUAAAUGUCACAGUGCUGCCUGUAUGAGGUAUUUAAGGGUCACUGGUUAGAGAACUGAACAGAGGAAACAUUUUUUUAAACCUAUAAAUGCAAAGAGUUUCUUUUUGCUGCAUUUUUGAAGAUAAACUUCUCAAAGAAAGAACUAAAAAAAAAAAAAAGUGGAUAUUAUUAGUGGAGAUAGCAGGAAACUGAGCAAGUGGAUCUGGAGAUAAAAUGAAGGCAUGGACAGUGGCAGGGUAGUCAGGGAGCAUCACUUUAGGGCAAGAUCAUGAGAUGUGACUGGUGGCAAAAAAUAAAAAUAGUAACUGUAUUCAGGAUGGAAGUAUAUGAGAAUAGCAAAUUAGCAAAUGCCUGGACUGAAAAAAAGGUUAAAACCUAGCAGGCAUGAAUAGGAGAAUUUUUAUUAAAAAAAUAUAAGAAAGAUUAAAAAAAAAAAUGUUAAAAUAUAUUACUUGCUUCCAAGAUACCUCUUCUGGAAGACAAGAAUUCUUCAAAUAAUAAAAAUAGCAGAAUAAUUACAAACCAGAAUUAUGUAUCUGUUCACUGUUUAAAAAAAAUUGGAGGAAUAACAAAGAAAACCCUUAAGGAAACUCAUAUCAAGAGCUCAGAAGAAGAAAUCUUAUUUAUAAAUAUAUAUAUUAAAUCAAUAUAUUCCCUAUAUGAGGGGAUAAAGUGAGGUUCUUUGUGUUUUCUCUAUGUAAAUUGCCUUCAUAGGGGAAAAUUAUAUCUGUGCCUUCUCUUUGAACUCGGUAAUAUCCUCAGAGUCAGUUAUCACAGAGGGAAGGGGCUUCUUCACAGUCAUCUUACUAAAGGAAUUACAGAGCUCUUCAAGUAGGUGACAUGCUUUUGGGCACUGUAACGCCCAAAUCAAUAAUAUUAAAUAGCAUAUACUAUAAAAAGGAAUCCUGUUACAAAUGGAUUUCUGUUCUAAAACAGAUUACAUCUAAUCUUUUAGCAAGUUUCAUCCUUAUGAGACAGUCUUUAAUAGAAGUAUUAAGCUUGCUCAAGCUCUAUAGCAUUUCUUUAAUGCCAGCAACUAUAAGGCUUUUUUUUUUUUGCUCAAGAUUUUAGGAAAGGAUCUGGAAUUUCCGGUAUUCUUUUGGAGCUUAUUCAGAUCCGCUGUCUUUUAGUGCUAAAAAGCGUUUGGCUUUUUUUCCUCAAAAAUGUUUUCUGCAGCUGCCAUUGGAGUCCAGUGUUACACCUCCCCUUUCAAAUCACUAAUAACCUGCAACUAAUGUGUGUCAUUUCUAUCUUUAUUUGAAAAGAAUAUUUUAUGCAUGGAUACAUCCACUCAUACAUACAGAGGAAGAAAGUUGGAACGUUGUAAAGUGGUUCUCUCAUUCAACCUUAAUACACAUACCAAUCAAUUUAUACCUAUGUUUUCAAAUGCAAUGCAUUUUUCUAUGUUACACACAAACAAUAAAUGGUUUUUUUCAGACCUUG